Molecule: ribosomal RNA, 497 nt
Filed under: uncultured bacterium
Lineage: Bacteria
Description: partial 16S ribosomal RNA
Rfam family: Bacterial small subunit ribosomal RNA
Source: RNAcentral
GAUGAACGCUGGCGGCGUGCCUAAUACAUGCAAGUCGAGCGAACAGACGAGGAGCUUGCUCCUCUGACGUUAGCGGCGGACGGGUGAGUAACACGUGGAUAACCUACCUAUAAGACUGGGAUAACUUCGGGAAACCGGAGCUAAUACCGGAUAAUAUAUUGAACUGCAUGGUUCAAUAGUGAAAGACGGUUUUGCUGUCACUUAUAGAUGGAUCCGCGCCGCAUUAGCUAGUUGGUAAGGUAACGGCUUACCAAGGCAACGAUGCGUAGCCGACCUGAGAGGCUGGUCGGCCACACUGGAACUGAGACACGGUCCAGACUCCUACGGGAGGCAGCAGUAGGGAAUCUUCCGCAAUGGGCGAAAGCCUGACGGAGCAACGCCGCGUGAGUGAUGAAGGUCUUCGGAUCGUAAAACUCUGUUAUUAGGGAAGAACAAAUGUGUAAGUAACUAUGCACGUCUUGACGGUACCUAAUCAGAAAGCCACGGCUAACUACGUG